This 495-nucleotide ribosomal RNA is filed under the name uncultured bacterium. Its description in RNAcentral is "bacterial SSU rRNA". It matches the Rfam family "Bacterial small subunit ribosomal RNA", at positions 903 to 1397 of the family's 1533-position model. The record is from RNAcentral.
AAAUGAAUUGACGGGGACCCGCACAAGCGGUGGAGCAUGUGGUUUAAUUCGAAGCAACGCGAAGAACCUUACCAAGUCUUGACAUCCCACUGACCGGCCGGUAACGCGGCCUUUCCUUCGGGACAGUGGAGACAGGUGGUGCAUGGUUGUCGUCAGCUCGUGUCGUGAGAUGUUGGGUUAAGUCCCGCAACGAGCGCAACCCUUAUCCUUAGUAGCCAGCAGGUGAGGCUGGGCACUCUAGGGAGACUGCCAGGGAUAACCUGGAGGAAGGUGGGGAUGACGUCAAAUCAUCAUGCCCCUUAUGACUUGGGCUACACACGUGCUACAAUGGCGUAAACAAAGUGAAGCGAGAGUGCGAGCUUAAGCAAAUCACAAAAAUAACGUCUCAGUUCGGAUUGUAGUCUGCAACUCGACUACAUGAAGCUGGAAUCGCUAGUAAUCGCGGAUCAGAAUGCCGCGGUGAAUACGUUCCCGGGUCUUGUACACACCGCCCGU